This 74-nucleotide transfer RNA is filed under the name Amylostereum chailletii. RNAcentral describes it as "tRNA-Ser". It matches the Rfam family "tRNA". From Rfam's summary of the family: Transfer RNA (tRNA) molecules are approximately 80 nucleotides in length. Their secondary structure includes four short double-helical elements and three loops (D, anti-codon, and T loops). Lineage: Eukaryota; Fungi; Basidiomycota; Agaricomycetes; Russulales; Stereaceae. The record is from RNAcentral.
GGACAGGUAGCUCAGUUAGUUAGAGCACCAUUCUAGAAUACGGGAGGUCCUAGGUUCAAUCCCUGGCCAGUCCA